AAGCCAAGUACCCCUCUCCUAUAGUGCAACAGGAUCUGAGCAUGGGAGUUGGCCGGGUGCUGUAGGCUCU
RNAcentral lists this non-coding RNA (70 nucleotides) under Otolemur garnettii (small-eared galago). The record is from RNAcentral. Lineage: Eukaryota; Metazoa; Chordata; Mammalia; Primates; Galagidae.